RNAcentral lists this ribosomal RNA (376 nucleotides) under uncultured bacterium. RNAcentral's name for it is "bacterial SSU rRNA". It matches the Rfam family "Bacterial small subunit ribosomal RNA", at positions 521 to 896 of the family's 1533-position model. The record is from RNAcentral.
UAAGACGAACCGUGCGAACGUUGUUCGGAAUCACUGGGCUUAAAGGGCGCGUAGGCGGCGCGUCAAGUCGGGGGUGAAAGCGUUCGGCUUAACCGGACAAGGGCCCCCGAUACUGACACGCUCGAGGGAGGCAGGGGCAGACGGAACUUCCGGUGGAGCGGUGAAAUGCGUUGAUAUCGGAAGGAACGCCGGUGGCGAAAGCGGUCUGCUGGACCUCUACUGACGCUGAGGCGCGAAAGCCAGGGGAGCGAACGGGAUUAGAUACCCCGGUAGUCCUGGCCCUAAACGAUGGGUACUAGGUAGUGGACUGGACAUGGGUUCCCUGCCGAAGCCAAAGUAGUUAGUACCCCGCCUGGGGAGUAUGGUCGCAAGGCUG